RNAcentral lists this long non-coding RNA (1040 nucleotides) under Taeniopygia guttata (zebra finch). RNAcentral describes it as "lncRNA (ENSTGUG00000028404.1)". Lineage: Eukaryota; Metazoa; Chordata; Aves; Passeriformes; Estrildidae. The record is from RNAcentral.
UUUUUUUUUUUUUUUUUUCACAUGCAUCAGUGAAACCUCUCUAUGAUAUUAACGUGUUAAUGUGGAAAUAUGGUUUAUUAAGUGAGCUAUAGAAACCGGGGCAAUAUAUGCUCAUAAAUGGCAGUUGACUAAAAUAAGUGUGCUGAUAACCAAUAAUAAAUGAAAUUUUGUCUAUCUUACUAACUGCUCAUGUGAACAGCACCUAUAGUGUUGAAUGCACACACGGCAUUUAAGACAGCAGGUCCCACUGGAUCAUAAGUGCAGAAAAGAAAGAUGUUUUCCUUGGAUGUAUUUUGGCAUUGCUCAGAUAUGUCACAUCACUGCUUUUUCACAUGGUUUGGGUCCAUGGGUAGUUGUUGAUGAGAAAGAUGGUUGUCAGGACUAAUUUCUGAUGAAAUCCCAGGGACCUCUCACUUUUCCUGCUUUGCAAUUAGUAACUUGUAAUUUUUCUCAUGCUGGGACCACCAGGUAUGCCUGUGGACCAAAGACAACAGUGCAGUGUGGUUGGGCUUGUAUUCAAGCAUCACUUUGUACAUGAGCAAUAAACAAGCCUUGUGAUUGAUCCACUGCUUCAAACUGCUUAGUCACAUAAUCAAUCUCAGACCAGUUUGUUACAAUAUAUUAUUUCAGAGCAACAGAAAAUGUCCCUUAUGUAACUACUGGCAUAGUCAAAGCCUGUGACAAUUGCAGAUUGUCUGCUGGUGCAGGAGAGGAGUGUCCAAGGACUUGUGAAUUUGGUGGAUGAUCUCAGGCACCAAAUCUCAGGAUGAUUGUAAGGCAGGGCUGUAAGGAUGGACUUUCUGAAGCCGGCUGUGCAGAGAGCUGAGGGGAUCACACUCUCUACUCCUCCUGCCCUUGCUUUUGGCAACUUGGAUCCCCCACAGAGAAACGAAGCCCUCCCUGGUUUGUCUCCUGCCGAGGCCAAGUCAGACAAGCGCCGUGCGGGCCCGGGAGCCUCCCUGGGUGCUGAAGGGACAGCUCCGGGGGGCGAGCCGCGCUCCAGCCGCUCCGAGGGGGAUCCGCGGGACACGCUCGGCUCC